GUAAUAUUGGGAAGGUUCCAAAGCAAUCUAGGAAUGAACCAUUGCAAAGCUACUAAGAAAGUCAAUAGGUACCUGCAAGGAACCAAAGAUUACCAGUUGAUUUAAAAACCGACUGAUCACCUUGAGGUGAUUGAUUAUUCAGACUCGAAAUUUGCUAGUUGUGUAGACAGAAAAAAAUCUACUUUAUAAUAUAUUUUUCUUCUUGCUAGAGGAGCUGUAUAUUGAAAAAAUACUAAGCAAACGAUUGUUGCUUCAUCUACUAUGAAAGCAGAAUUCAUUGCAUGCUAUAAAGCAAUGACAUAAACGAUUUGGUUAAGAAUUUUUAUUUCUGAUCUUGAAGUUGUUGAUUCUAUAUCAAGACCAAUAAAGAUAUAUUGUGAUAAUUCAAUUGCAAUUUUCUUUUCUAAGAAUAAUAAGAGUGAAAGUCAAAACAAACAUAUUGACAUAAAGUAUCUCAUUGUGAGAGAAAAAGUGAAGGAACAUGAAGUUCUCAUUGAGCAUAUUAGCACAAAGCUAAUGAUCACGAAUAUAAAGAUCACGCGGAUAACAUAUGUCUAGCUAACCUAUUUGAUGUUUGACUUUAGUUUUUUUUUUUUUGAUUGUCUGAAAAUCUUUUAUGUUAUUUUUAGAGACCAAAAUGAUGUUUUGUGCACAUAAAAUAUUAUUUUCUAUAUUUACUAGUAGUUAAUUUAUAAAGUUUAUUUGCUCAUUAAGUGCUUAUUUUCUCGGAUGCAAUAUAUUGUAAUACAUGGAAAGAAAUACUUGAUUAUAAGUGUAACUACUAUGAUUCAUAUGUUGUAUUCUUGAUUUAAGUGUAAAUGUUUUUACUAACCAGAUAUUUUGAACCCUAUAAAAAUAUUGUUACUUUUCAGAUGGUACUGUCAUAUAAGCUAAGUGAAAGAAUGUUAAAAAAAUAUUUUUAAGGUGACAUGUAUGUUAUAUAGAUUUUAAAUUAAGUAACAAUUAAGGCUUAAAACUCAUUAGACUCUUUAGUAAUACAAAAAUUAGGUUAUAUAUAAAAAGUCUUUAAUCUAAAAAAAAAAAAUGUCAAUGAAAAAUCUGUGUUUUUCAUCCACACAAAAAAAACUCUGAAGUUUGACAUAUAUUAGAAGACUUAUUAUUGCUGAUAGCACAAAAAUUGAUGAACAAUUACAAUAUUCAAUACUUAAUCAAUGAUGACAGAAAAUAUAUAACUUAUUAAUUUUCAGCUGCAUUUAUAUGAUUGGUAUAUUGAAAUUAUUUUACAUAUAAUUCAUGCGUCUGAUGCAACGCCUUAACUAACGUUAGUUUGUUUUCUUUUCUUCUUCUGUAUACUAUAAUAAGACUCUGAACCAAUCACACCUAAGCUGAUCAAUAUACAUAUGGUGUCGAUGGGUCUAGACAAUGUUAACUACCAGGUAAUGAACUGGUAAUAAAACCCAUUAAUUAAUUUUAAUAGAUUUAUUAAAGUAAUUCUAUUGGAAUUGGUGUCGAUGUACGUAUAUUAUAUUCUCUAAUAUAAAAGGCCCUUUCAUUCUCAAUGAAUAAAUAAUUAUAAAUACAUAAAUAUAUAGUCGGGUGAUAGAAAUUAGCGUCAACUUGUGAAUGGAGUGUUGUCUAGUCGACCAAUUCAAUAGCCAUUGCUAUCCACUCGAUUAAUAAUUAAUUGUUUUUAUUCACUUUUAAAUAACUCGUGGUUCAAUGUAUCUAUAGUCCUCGGAAUAGUUUUUGUUUGACAUUUACAUAGAUCUGAUCUAUAAGAGAAUAAUUUUUGUUAUUAAUUACAUAUAAACCAAAAUAUAUUUGAACAAGACAUUUAAUUUAUAUUGACAAAUAUUUUUUUCCACGUAUAUUAUACAAAAAAUAACGUUAAUUAUAUAUUGUUCAUAUAAUAUAAAUUCAGUUUACGUACCGUAAGUUAAACUUCUAUAUAAGCUAAUACUUUUAAGAACAUAAUUAAAAAUUUAUUAUUUAAUUAAAGUAUUGUUUAAAUUUAAAAUUUAAAUCAAGACUAAAUAAAAAUAUUAUUUAAUCAAGAUUAUUAAUUUACAGGUUAUAUUAAUUAUAUUUUGCUCAGAGGUUCACAGUUUUUUGUUUUUAACCUAAUGCUUGCUUUUCUAGCUACAAAACGAUAUCUCAUUCAUAUAUUUAGGAUAUAAGCUGGCUGGCUAACUAGCAAGAUCUUUAUUUUUCUGGUAAGAAUGGAAUGCCAGACAGAGAGAUAGUAAGGCUCGAAUUCUUUUCAUCACCGCUACCAUCCAUUGGCGAACACUUUCUCUUGAAGUGGCCAUAUAUACAGUACUGGGGUAUGUGGUUCACAUCAAAUGAAAGGGAGAAGAGUAAGCCAAAGUGAGCACGGAGGCGAAAAGAGUCGACGGUCCUCUUCAUGCAUGGGCCAUCAUAACAAGAGUUUGUAAAUGGCAACCAUCUAGGUGACUCAGUGAUAAGAGAUUGAGACUAAGAGGUUUGCUCUCUUUGUGGUCUCAGGUUUGAACCCGGUGGUUGCUCAUAUGAUGACCACUGGAGGCUUACAUGGUCGUUAAUUUUAGGGCCCGUGGGAUUAGUCGAGGUACGCGCAAGCUGGCCCGGACACCUACGUUAAACUAAAAAAAAAAAAAAAGUUGAAAAUGGUUUCAUAAAAAAAGAAGUUUAAAAUGUUUAAUUAAAUUGACUUUUCUUGGUGUUUUUUUCAGGGCUACUGAAAUGUUGUGGCUAGGUCUUUUGGGUUUAUAAAAGAGACUGGGAAUUGGAUUUUAGUAGUAGAUGGGACGAUACAUGGAUUCCUGCUUACCCGUCUAUUUUGGCUCGGCCACAAUCACCCAAAUAGAAAUAUAUAGCAAUUAUAGACGCAUGUGUGCACACAAAUUCGACAGUACUUCUGCAAAAAACACCACACAUAAGAUUGAAGAAGUCUGUUCUCUCACUCAAUCUCAACCCAAAAUCCACAAGCACACACACACACAAGUAUAUAAUAUCUGGAUAUAUAUGAUCAUGCCCCCAUUUAGAUAUUUUAAACACCAUUUUUUCCACGUUCUCUUUCACGUCAAUUUCACUUUCCUUACACCUGCCACUUCCCCUCCCCUUAUAUUUACUGCUCUUUACAUUCUUCUCUUGUGCCUUUAUCCCCCCCCUCUCUCUGAACUUAGGCCGCUUUGCCUGUAUUUCAUUCUUUUACUCUCUCUCAAAACUAAUUACUAAAGACUAUGUUUAUUGUUCCACGGUACCUCUAAUCAUAUACAAAGAAUCAACCUUGGAGACCAAACCUACAAAACGUCAUGAAUAAGCUCCAAGAUUGGCCCGAACCUAUAGUCCGAGUACAAUCCUUGUCCGAUAGCGGCAUACCCCUAAUUCCAGAGCGAUAUGUCAAGCCCAUACUUCAGAGGCCAUCCGUAAAUCCCACCACUUCGAAUGAUGUGAACAUCCCUGUCAUUGAUCUUGCCAGGCUAUAUGGUGAUGAUCAUGCUCUUCGAGCCACAAUACUUGACCAAAUCUCAAUAGCAUGCCGGGAGUGGGGAUUUUUUCAAGUUAUUAACCAUGGUGUUAGCCCUCAAUUGAUGGACCGUGCUCGAGAAGUAUGGAGACAAUUCUUUCAUUCGCCCAUGGAGGUUAAGCAAGCUUAUGCAAACACACCCAAGACUUAUGAAGGUUAUGGUAGCCGGUUAGGGGUCGAAAAAGGUGCGAUUCUUGAUUGGAGUGAUUACUACUUCCUGCACUAUCUUCCUUUACCAUUGAAGGACUAUAACAAAUGGCCUGCCAUUACAGCUGAUUGCAGGUGUGUGUGCGUGUGUAUAUUUCAAUCCCUUUUUAGAACACAUGCUUACUUUUUUUGUUCUUCUUUGUUUUUAGCACACCAAUUAAUUAAGAUUACCGAACGCUUUUCAAGUUGCAAAUUCGAUCAAGUGUCGUAUUGAUUUCCUAUUAUACAUCGUACCUAGUAAAUUCUUAUAAUAAAAUUUACUACACUUUUUCUAGCUUCAUAUAUAUAUAUAUAUAUAUAACUGUUUUAUAUCAACCAUGUAUUUGGAUUUUACCUUACUAAGAUUGGAUUUUUUUUUAACACCAACAAUUUCAAUUUAGUUUUAAGUAAGCCUUGCUAAUGAAUUUGUAGGGCAGUUCUUGAUGAAUAUGGUAAGCAAUUGGUGGAGCUGUGUGGGAAGUUAAUGAAGGUUUUAUCAAUAAACCUUGGAUUAGGAGAGGAACAACUUCAAAAUGCCUUUGGUGGAGAAAAUAUCGGGGCAUGCCUAAGAGUUAAUUUUUACCCUAAAUGUCCACAGCCUGACCUGACCCUUGGCUUAUCGUCACAUUCGGAUCCCGGUGGCAUGACCCUUCUCUUGCCGGACAGUAAUGUCCCUGGUCUUCAAGUCCGUAAAGAUGGGAAUUGGAUCACUGUAAAGCCAGUUCCACAUGCUUUUAUUGUUAAUAUUGGUGAUCAAAUUCAGGUAACAUAUACUUUCUCUGUUUCUCUCACUAGAUUAUCUAUCUAUAUAUAUUUAUGUUUGGAUGAGAUUUAUGAAACGUAUAGGGAACAUGGAGGGGUCAUAUUUUUGAUGGGGUAGUAACAAGUUAUUAUCCAACAAUUGGUCAAAAGUGUUUUUUUUUCUUCAAAGAACUUGUCAUUUGGUCCCGUUCUAGAGCGAGUGGUCUCAAUGAAAAGCUUGAAUAUAUAGUUUCUUCUCUUAGUUUGAACUUGUGGAUCAUGAACCUAGAAGGUUUCUUGAUGCAAGAAAAAAAAACACAUAUAUAGCCUCUCGAUCGUUUAGACAUCACAUGACAAACAUUACUGUACUCCCACGUAAAAAAACAUAAUCAGAACAUCACAAGGAUCUGUAAUGACUUGAGUCUUGCCUGUCAUACGUUCUUUCUUCUGCUUUAAGUAAUUACAGUACCUGUCACUUCCAGUACUAUUGCACAUUGAGAAUUCCUCAAGUAAAGAGUUUAAAUCCCGCCAAAAAAUAAUUGAGUACUAUUAUUAAUUUUCGCUCUCACUGGCUAUGCCCAUGCCUCGAGAAAGCAUCUCGUCGUCUUUUCUUUUUUGUCGUAAUUUGAUAACGAUGACUUUUACAAACAUGGAUUAGUUAUUCGAUGCCCGGUUCAUAACAUAUGGAAUGGGGUUAGAGUAUUGACCCAGAAAACAAUUAGCUGCCUCUAGAAAACUACAAGUCAUCAAACCAUGUUUUACAAACAUGGAUUAGUUAUUUAUUCGAUGCAACAUCUAAAAUAAAGAGUGGUGGAGAUAAUUAACACAACCAGAUAGAAUCUUAUGUUAUGUCUUUGACUUCUCAGCAAUCUCUUUAGUAUAAACAAGUCUUGUAACAAAAAAAAGAAAAAAAGAGUGGUAACUUUUUACAAGGAUGCAUGUAUUUACAAUGUAGCUUAAUUGUGGAUGAAGAAUUAGGUUAUUUUUUAAAGUAUUUUUUAUUUAAAAAUUUAUUAAAAUAAUAUUUUUAUUUAUUUUUAAAAUAUUAUUUUUAAUAUCAGUGUAUCAAAAUAAUUUAAAACUAUAAAUUUAAAAUAAAAUAUUUAAACUUUUUAAAAAUAUUAUUUAAAACACAAUUUCAAAUAGCAUCUAUUAUGGUAACAACCAUUCCAUCAAAUUUAGUGCAAUGAAUAUGUGUAUUAUUUGCCUGCCUAAAGCAGAAUGCAACCUACCUAUAAUAUAUUCCAAAGUAGAUGCUUCGACGAUGAAAUCUUGUCAAUUGUCGUUAUUUGACUGACAAUGAACUGGGAAUAGUAAGCGCGGAUCACAAAAUUAUUAACUUGAGGGACCUAAAUUGAGUUUCUAAGAGUAUGGAAUCAAAAUCAAAUGACCCGUGGUUGGAUUCAUUGGGGUUGCAAAAAUCACAAGCAAUAUUCUAGCAUCUUAUUCCAUCCCACUUGAGCAAGUAAUUCCAUGUUUUUUUCUGUUAUUAAUUCCUUGAACAACGCCAAGGGAUUUAAUUAACUAUAAUUAAUUGACGGUGGCAAAUUCGGUCUCGUUAGUUUUUAAUUUGAGCGAUGUGGUAAACAGUUUUGUUUUGUGGAUUCGUUUACGUAGGUGCUAAGCAAUGCAACUUGCAAGAGCGUGGAGCACAGAGUGAUGGUAAAUUCAUCAGAAGAGCGUCUCUCUCUUGCUUUCUUCUACAAUCCAAGGAGUGAUAUACCCAUAGAGCCUUUGAAGGAGCUCGUGGCACCAGACAGGCCUCCACUCUAUCCAGCCAUGACAUUCGACGAGUACAGGCUCUUCAUAAGAAUGAGGGGUCCCUGUGGAAAAUCCCAAGUGGAGUCCCUGAAAUCUCCAAGAUGAUGGCGACGUGACAACAAUUCUUAUGCGAAUUUCUUCCUGGCUAGUUUAGUGUUGUAUUAAUUAAUGUAAACCAAGAGUAACCGUCCCCUUCAUUGGUUAAUUAGAAUUUGAGUAAUUGUACAUCUUGUGAUCAUAGAGGGGACUACAGGUGAAAAAUGCAGUAGAAUGAAGUGGGAAAAGUAGAUAAAAAUUAUUCUAUAUAUGUUCUCUUUUGAGAAAAAAAAACUGGGCCCAAAAAUAUCCUAAUCACGUCUUGUGAGUAAAUAUUGUCCCGCUAAUUAAGGCAACAACUUGUUGGAAAACAAAACGUGACAUUUAGAAUUCUGUAGUUUUUGUUUUUUAAUGCUUUUUAAAUAUAUAUUUAAUUACUUUAGAUAUUUAUUUUUAAACUUAUUUGAUGAUUUUAAGAUAUAUAUUAAAAAUAAAAAAAUAAUCUUAAACAAAACUAAAAUAAAAAAUAUCUUUAAAAAGUAACUAAUUUAUUAUCGAGCUUGACACUAAAUUAAAUAGCAAGAUAUUGCACCAAUAAAUUGUAGGUAUGAUAUUUAACUAAAUUCUUUCACCUUAAUGAUUUUCUAAAAGGAUGAAAUGAGAAUAAUUAAUUAUGUGUUCAUCCACUCUCCACGAUGUAUGUUGAAGUAAUCAUACAUCAUCUAAUUUAUUUUUGAAUAAAUAAAAUCAAAGAUAAAAGAAUAGCACUAUUUAUGAUCACUUAUAUUGACAUUAUGCAAUUUUGAAUCAUCGUUUUUGACUUUCGAACUUGCAAGGCCAUAUCAUUUGCUUAGUCUAAUUUAUAUAUAUAUAUAUAUAUAUGGGGUUUUUUUAUAUAUAAUUAUUUGUUUAGUCUUUGGAGCUUUAUCUCAAUAUAAAUGGACGGCUAGCAAAUAUGUAUUAGUAAAACAAUUGAUCUUAUUAGACAUCAAUUGUUUUAUGCAUCGAUCAAUCAUGCUUCAAAGUCAAUUCUGUCAACUAUAGAUAUUAAUUCUAAGGUUCUUGUUGAGUAUAUUAUUAUAAAAUAACCAAAAAAAAGAUCACAUGUUUCUUGUCAUUUAGCAUUUUUAACCACUAAAUUCAAAUAUCAAAAUUAUUGCCUUCUUUAUAAUGGAGAGGACUUCACUAAUUUUUAUUUUUAUUUUGCUACUAUGUGAUUAAGUGACUGCAUAGCAAUAAAAUCCCUCUAUAAUGCAGUUAACAUCACCCGUAGUUUGGUUGGCUUUUGAUAAGAACCUUUGAAUGGCUGUUGAAAAUCAGUCUCCAUGUUGUAUGUUUUUUUUCUUCAAAUUAACACAAUAAACUUCAAAAUUUAGAGAAAUUAUACCAUUUUAAAAAAAUUAAUAAAAUAAUAUAGUUUUGAACUUGUCGCGUUUCUGAAGCGUAAAAAUUACAUGUCACACUUCUGAAGUGCGACAUUAACUAAAUGUUAACAGUUGAGUUUUAUGUAUUUAUCUUUUAAUUUAAUAUUAAUAUUUUAUUAAUACUAGACUGACUUCUUGCUACGAGAGAGUCGAGAGGCCAUAUCUAAUCUUCGUAGUACUGACAAAGAAAGCGAAGUUAACACCAUAGUGUCUCAGUAGUUAAAUGUUUGUCGCACUGGACUUGAAAUCUUUGGAGAGAGGUUAACUCUCGAUGAUAUCGUGGUAGAGGACAAGGUCACUUAGACAUGAACAUGAGCUAGAUCUAGUCGUGUUAUUUGCAUUCUUAAGGCUCCUUGUGAUUAUAAAAUAUAAGAAUAUAUUGAGUUUAGUUAGAAUUUAUUGAUUGAGGUUGUUGUGGUUUUUCGCAAGUUUUUUUUAAGCGUAAAUUUUUUUUGGAUAUAGUUUUUAUAUAGAGAAAACUCUAUUCAAAUUUUGAUAAAAUUGUUAAAAUUUUAACUCUUUAAAAUUAUAAAGUAAAUAAAAAUUCAUAUUAAUAAAAACUAUGAUUUUAUAAAAUUUUCCAGGCUUAAAAUAUGAAAAUAACCCAAAACUAGACAAUAGCUAAAAUAAUCUAAUCAUUUUGGAUAUUGUACAAUCAUUUUAUCAAAUGUCCAGUUGUUUCUCAAAACGAUCUCUUUAAAAAUAUCACGAUUCACAGACGAUAUAUAUCAAAUAUUUUAAUUCACAACCAUAAUAUCUUCAAACUAUAGUAUUUUACCAAAAAAAUUUCAUCAUGCACUAUUUCACUAUUUAUUUAUAUUUUGGGUGCUAAUUGUAUAAUUUAUCCAUGUGAUAUCAUCAUGAAGGCAAUUUUGGGUAGUCUUUGGCACUUGCUGAUUGUGCGGUGCCAUUUAUGUGUCACUAAUCCAAGUCCAGAAGGAUUUACAAGUGGUGGUUUAGUCUUCCAUUGAUGUUGAUGUUGAUGUUUCAUUAGUUUAAUGCCCCCACCUAAGGGUAAACUGUAUUGCAAAAGAGCGAACGAGAGAAUUCAUGUUGUGAAAAAAAAAAUACAGCUAAGUAUAUUAUUUUCUUCUAUUAUUAUUAUUAUUAUUUUAUUCGUCACCAUACCGUCUUUAACUAAAGUCAUCCAUACUCUAUAUUACUUCACAAGGUCACAUCCCCCCUGGACAUAGGGCUUCCUCAAUCAAUUAUGAGUUCGUUGGCUCCAUAGAAAAGGUAGCCAUGCCUCUCUGGGAUUAUUCAUUGUUUAAAGAAAAAAAAUAAAAGAAAUGGAAUAUUUUUUGAGAAUAAAAAACUAGAAAAGUUCAAGUCAAUUGCUAUUAGAAAAAACAAGGUUAUUUACAUGAGCUAUAUUUUAGGCCGAAUUAAAAAAAUUUAAAUGUUUAAAAAAAUAUAUAAGUAUUACUAACAUAUUUUCAAGAAAUUUUUUUUUUUAUAGGAAUUGAUCUAAUUUGAUCUAAUCGAUUUAUCAAGUCCAAAGAUAACAUGGACAACCAGAAAAAAAAACAUAGAUUAACUAAAAAUAAUUUAAGAUGACAUAUUUUUUUAAAAAAAAUAUUAAGAUGACAACAUAUUAGAUUAACUAAGAUCAACCUAGGUUAACAGUUAAAAUUCACGACUUAGAUUAUAAGACCUUGAUAACCUCGUAGAAAACAAAUUAAAAAAUAUAUUAAAGAUAAUUUUUUAAUCAAACCAAUAUCGAGUAAUGAAAAUGAAAAAAAAAUUAAAUAAAACGCAAAAAAAGACUCGAGACAACGCAGAUUAACUUGUCAAACCUGGAUCAUGAGACCGGGAUAACCCAAUAGGAAUCAAAAGAAAAUAAUUUAUGAAGCCCAAUUCAUAAUUAAUCCAAUGUAAAAUGAUGAAAUUAAAAAAUAACAAAAAAAGACUCGAGUCAACUUGAGUUAACUCGCCAAAUCUUUGAUUCAGAUCACGAGACUAAUAUAACCUCAUGAAAAACAAACUGAGAUAAAUUAUGAAACUUAUUUUUCAAUAAACUCAAAUAUUGAAUGAUAAAAUUGAAAAAAAAAUCAAUUAUAAAAAAUACCAUAAAAACCCGAGUCAAUAUAUAUAUAGGAUUAACUCGUAAAACCCGCGAUCCAAAUAAUGAGAUUAUAAUAACCUCUUGGAAAAAAAAUCAAAAUAAAUUUUAAAGCAUUGAAAAAAAAUUCUUACAAUGAAGUAAUGACAUUGUAAGAGGAGGAUUAAUCCCUUCUCAAUUAGCUUAUGUUAAUAAUAAUAAUAAUUUGAAGCCAUGUCAGAAUUCUCUCUCUCUCUCUCUCUCUUUCUCUCUCUCUCUCUAUAUAUAUAUAAUCAACUUAUUAGUAAAAUAAUUGAUUCCCAAUUAUUCAAUCUUAUUGUGGACAAGUGUACUAUUCACUUAUUUGUCAAUUUGUGGUAAAUAACGAGCCCGUCAAGAAAGAGACAGAAUGCUCCUAUACAUUAUUUUCUUAGCAAUUUUAAAUCUUGCGAGCUACAUCGAUCCACUUGCAACACAGCAUGUCUACAUCAGUUGGAAAUGGAUAAAAAUAGAUAUUAGGGAGUCUAAAUGUGGCCUUAGCAUUUAGCAUACGUAUUUUCCAUUAUUAUAAUACACAAGAAGGCAUCCUUGACUAUUACAACCCCACUUGAAAUCAAAUUAAUAUCAUUACUUGACUCUUUCAAAUGAUUAUCCGCACGACAAAUUUUAUCAACUACUUGUUCUCAAGAUUACUUAGAAUUAGCAUCGCUUGGCAGACGAUAAGCUCAGGUCAUAUAUAGCAAUCGAAACAGACGUGAUUUCUAACUCCCAUUCAUUUCUACAUUUAGGGUUUCCCCUCUCAAAAAGCUGGAACCACCUAGCUAUAAACCUAGUGUUUUGGUCAAUUACGUUUCCUUCUUGCAGUUUCGUUGCUUCUUGCUUUUGUUUUUUAUCUCCUAUUGUCUAAAGUCGGGCGAUGCCACUUAUUAUUAUUCUUUUAUCUAACCCUAAAUGAAAUCUGUAGAAAAUAAGCGUUAAGUGUUGAUUAUCAACGGGACUCUUCGUUGAACGUACACUAAUCACGCGCAGCUGCUGUAAUAUUAAUGCUCCUUUGAUUCCUAGACUCGAGCACUUGCUAGAUUGUUGUGGUGAUUUAAGGAUCAUGUACUGGCUUGUUUCCACUGAAAGGACGUUUUGCGUUCACGUUUGUCCCCCUUUCCUUGCAGAAGAAUCUGUCGAGGCCAGCAAGCAAUUCACCGCUGAAGCUGUGUUUGACAGCAUGUCGGAAUAGUGCCCCAUUUCGGGAACGUUUGGUAACGCGGCUGCGUUUUCAAAAAAAUUAAAUUUUUUUUAUUAAAAUUUAAUAUGAUUUAUAUGUUUUAGAUCGUUUUGAUGUGCUGAUAUUAAAAAUGAUUUUUAAAAAAUGAAAAAACAUUAUUGACAUGCAUUUUGACACGAAAAGUUAUUUGAAAAACACCAGCAACCACACUGCCAAACACGUUUUUCAGCUUGUACCCAUUAAUUGUAAUUUAUUGUCUCAAUCUUUCCCAAUUCCUGUUCCGUUUACUGUAAAAAUUGCUUUCUUUGCUGGGUUCCAGACUAUUUUGUCUUGCUCGUACGUGCUGACUAGCUAGGAUAUUCAUUUCCACACAUACCUCUCUAUGUGCACAUCUUCUUGAGAAGGGGUCCCCACCCUCUCCUUAACAUGGCGAAGCAUUUUCUUGUGUAAAUCAGUGAUGAAUCCAGGACUGAAGACGUGAAGUGCCAAAAAAAAAAAAUUAAUUCUUCUAUUUGUAGUGGUGAGGUCAAUACUUAACAUGCAUGCCAACUAAUAUCGUAAUAGGGAUGAAAGUAAAUAGAUUUUUCUUUUUUGGGGAUUAAUAUAAAAAAAAAUUUUAAUUAAAGCAGAGGAAAGUUAUAUCCAAGUGAAGUAAGUUGAUGAAAAAUAAUCAUCAAAGCAGAAACGGAAAAGAAACGCUUUAAUUGUGAGGAUUGAAUUGAGAAAGUUUAGAAGAAAGGGACCGAGGGAAGUGUUUUGAUACUUUGAGGGCCAUGGGCCCUCCGCCCACUGGAUCCAUCUCUUGCGAGCAGUCUCCUUCCAGACAAAUAUGAGUUCAGUAGUUCAAACCCAUUUCUCUUCCAUAUCCCAAGUGCAGCUAGCUGCUAUGACAGUAUUAUUGACAAUCCAUGUGCGCCUCUCUUUCAAGCACAUACCUCAAGUAUUUUGUUUUUUUUUAUAAAAAAGAAGAAGAAAAAACGAUGCCUUCAAUAAUGCAAAUCCUGUAUCAAUCAACAAUCACUUUCACUUACAAAUGAUGGCAUGGCACGUAUACUCCAAUGAUUUAAAUUUCUAAGAACUCCAAUUGAUUAAUCAGAUAAAGUUUAAGAUGGUAGCUCUGUGUUCUUAAUAUUUCACUUUAAUUUGGUUAAGAGCAUCGGCUAAUGAGUAUGUUUUAUGUUUGGUUUUCUUCUCGAAUUAAAUGGGAGAUCUGGAGAUAAGAAUCAUGAGAUCGGGUAUGUUUCAAGGAGUGAAAAGAGCAAAGAAGGAGAUCCAAACAGCACACCACUGCAUCACAUCAAUGACAAGGAAACGAAAGGGAUUUUAGUAGAGCAUACCUUAUCGAUUGAUUCGAAACAAGCUAUCGAUUAAAGUCUCCUGAAAAAUGAUAAAUGGUUUGAUAAGUUUAACAGGUGGAUACCAUCAUCAUUCCAUCAAGUGUAAUCCCGAGAUUUCUAACACGAAGCUAACUACCAUUGAAUCUUCUAUUCUCAAAAUAAAUCCCGACGAUCAAAUUAAAAUCUUUUCAGUCAAGAAUUAGAAUGAUUAUCUACUCGUAAAUAACCUCAUUCACCAGAGAUUAUCUCUUUUUUUUCUAUCUUCGUUUAAAAUAUAUAGAUAUACUCCAACAAAAAGAAGAAAAAAUACUUAAUUGAAUCUAAAACUAAAAUAAUACCAUAAAAAAUAAACACCCGAACUGUACCGAAGAUGAGUUGUGAUCUGAAAGCAGGACUUUAGUGCCGCACAGUAUUCGACUGAUUCAGUGAACCACGAAUUACGGUUUUUGAUUGGAAAAUCUUGGUAUUUUCCUGCUCAAAUUGCUGGUAAUUCCAUCACAUAGUUGUUAUAAUAAUAUAAUAAUUACUAUCAAAGAGGGCAAAUGUUAUUGUGUAGAGAGAGAGAGAUCACGUGCUAAAAAAAGACUCGGCACGUUUAUUUGCUGUGGGCGUUGGUGAGAAGGGCACCAUCGAAGAAAAGAAGAUGAUGAAGGAACGACUAGAUUUGGCCUUGAUCGUAGCAAGCAAAUGCUACUACCUAUUAUUUGUUUUCCUGUGUCGUUUUUGGCUUCUUCUUUUUUCAUCGACAAAAC
This 12966-nucleotide long non-coding RNA is filed under the name Populus trichocarpa (black cottonwood). RNAcentral describes it as "long non-coding RNA (PTRI_LNC002591)". The record is from RNAcentral. Lineage: Eukaryota; Viridiplantae; Streptophyta; Magnoliopsida; Malpighiales; Salicaceae.